CGGUCCAGACUCCUACGGGAGGCAGCAGUAGGGAAUCUUCCGCAAUGGGCGAAAGCCUGACGGAGCAAUGCCGCGUCGAGUGAAGAAGGCCUUCGGGUCGUAAAACUCUGUUAUAGAGAAGAACAAAUUGUAAGUAACUGCUACAGUCUGACGGUAUCUUAUCAAAAGCCACGGCUAACUACGUGCCAGCAGCCGCGUAA
This 200-nucleotide ribosomal RNA is filed under the name Aerococcus urinaeequi. RNAcentral describes it as "partial 16S ribosomal RNA". It matches the Rfam family "Bacterial small subunit ribosomal RNA", at positions 327 to 522 of the family's 1533-position model. Lineage: Bacteria; Bacillati; Bacillota; Bacilli; Lactobacillales; Aerococcaceae. The record is from RNAcentral.